This 457-nucleotide ribosomal RNA is filed under the name Edaphobacter sp. URHE0032. RNAcentral describes it as "partial 16S ribosomal RNA". It matches the Rfam family "Bacterial small subunit ribosomal RNA", at positions 59 to 546 of the family's 1533-position model. Lineage: Bacteria; Pseudomonadati; Acidobacteriota; Terriglobia; Terriglobales; Acidobacteriaceae. The record is from RNAcentral.
AAGUCGCACGAGAAAGGGGCUUCGGCCCUGAGUACAGUGGCGCACGGGUGAGUAACACGUGAAUUAUCUACCUUCGAGUGGGGAAUAACUGGGAGAAAUCUCAGCUAAUACCGCAUAAAACCUACGGGUCAAAGCAGCAAUGCGCUUGAANANGANUUCNCGGCNNANUNNUUNNUUGGNGGGGUAAUGNNNCCCCCCAANANNAUGAUCUGUAUCCGGCCUGAGAGGGCGCACGGACACACUGGAACUGAAACACGGUCCAGACUCCUACGGGAGGCAGCAGUGGGGAAUUUUGCGCAAUGGGGGAAACCCUGACGCAGCAACGCCGCGUGGAGGAUGAAAUCCCUUGGGAUGUAAACUCCUUUCGAUCGGGACGAUUAUGACGGUACCGGAAGAAGAAGCCCCGGCUAACUUCNUGCCANCANCCGCGGUAAUACNAGGGGGGCAAGCGUUGUUC